UGGUGGAGUGAUUUGUCUGGUUAAUUCCGUUAACGAACGAGACCGCCACCUGCUAUAUAGUUCCACUAAUGGUUUUUCUUUGGUGAGAGCUUCUUAGAGGGACAUUCAUUCUACAAGAUGGAGGAAGAUGGCGGCAAUAGCG
This 142-nucleotide ribosomal RNA is filed under the name uncultured eukaryote. Its description in RNAcentral is "partial 18S ribosomal RNA". It matches the Rfam family "Eukaryotic small subunit ribosomal RNA", at positions 1299 to 1457 of the family's 1831-position model. The record is from RNAcentral.